AUACAGUACACCUUACUGUCGGCUGCUCGGAGCGUGUGCCUGAUUACAGUAAACCUUACUGUCGGCUGCUUGGAGUAUGUGCCUGAAUACAGUACACCUUGCUGUCGGCUGCUCGGAGCGUGUCCCCGAAUACAGUACACCUUGCUGUCAGCUGUCGGCAUCAUUGUUUUUUUUUUCAAUUAAAAAAGGUCACAAUUUACAAGCAAAAAUGUCUAGAUAGAAUGAUAAUAUUUUAUGGAUGCUAACAUUCCCUCCAUCUACUUAAAAAAAAAAAACCCAACCGUGUGAGACAUGACUGCUUUUCCUUGAGCCGGGCAGGCCAAGACGCUUAAUGACGCUCAUUACUCACCCCUCUCUGACGCGGGGGCCAGGUCAAUGAAGCUGCGACACUUCUCACCUGAGAGAGGGAGGAAGAGAGGAGAUAAACGAGGCAGGAAAAGAGGAAUGUGAAAAGGUACAAGGUGAGAUGAGCUGGGAAUGAAGCCGAGGGCGGAGGGGAACAGCGCCCUGACGGAGCGACGAACGGGAUGAGAUGAUGAGGGGAUGAGUUGCAGAACGAACAUGGGUGGAACACACUUGUAGCGUCGGCACUUGGCAAGGGGCGUGGCAAGGCCAGGCAUUUGAGACGGAUUGGCGGUUAGGCCAGAUGGAGGAUGCUUCGCUCACCGGCUCAUUUACUCCCAACAGGCACAAUAACAUGAUUAAAAGUCAACUCUGAACCCCCAACAUCACUUCCUGUCCGCCACCGAUUCCGCUCCUCUGGAAGGUAAACUGUCUUAAAUGCUUUAUUUUAUCUACUUUAUUGGAGAAUAGGCAUGUCAGGCUGACUAUAGGGGUGUUAUUUCUCGUGCAGAUGCCUCUAAUAAAGUUCUAGCUUAUUUAGAAGAUUGUAAAAAAAAGUGUUUCCCACAGGACUGCAAUGUAUUUGUGGAGGACACACGAGCAAAAAGGAGUACAAAAAGUACGAAAAGCAAAACAAAUAUGUUUAGAAACACAAAUCAACUUCCGCUGUCGACCAAGACGGACGAAGACGAAGAUCGUGCUGUCAUAACAGAAUUGCCAAAAGUCUCUAGAUAAGUCGCCAUUUUUGAGAAAGCGCCAUCUGGUUAUUCUCUGGCAGAGCGGGGUCAUCAGAGUUCCAGUGAGUUUAUGGUGAACAUCAUAGCGCCAAAUGGAGUCAAUGAAUGUUCGGGGAAACACCGCGGCCAGCCGAAGCAACAAAGUAUCCCAGCAGCGCGGUGAAGCUCAUCAGAGGAAGCAGUCAUCCAUCAUCUCCAAGGCUCCUGCGGGACACCGGAUGAGCUUUCAGGCCAUCACAGGACGGCGGAGGUGUUAAGGAACGUUUAAUCAUCCCUGAUUGGUCGUGUGAAGAGAGGCCUUUAGCUGUGGGUUCAUACCAGCAUGGGACAGGUACCCACUCUCACUUUUACAUGGUAAAUGGUCUUUCACCUUCAAGGAGCUCAAUGCACUCAGAUACUGCUAACAUCUACCUACCCAUGACGCAGCAUCAGGAGCGCCUGGGGGUUCCGUAUCUAAUGUUAUUAAACAUAUUUGGUUCGUAAAUCGGUUUUCCGUGCUCGACCUAUGAAAAUAUUUCUUUCAUAAAUCUUACGUGGCUUUUCGUGGUCGGGUCUGGAGUCAAGUCAGCAUCAUUUACUGUACAUUACAGGACCGCUUGUCACAGCUUUGAUGGGUGACGUUCCGAGAGUAAUAUGACCAGAA
This is a non-coding RNA of Doryrhamphus excisus (bluestripe pipefish), 1722 nucleotides long. NCBI's taxonomy places the organism in Eukaryota, Metazoa, Chordata, Actinopteri, Syngnathiformes, Syngnathidae. The record is from RefSeq and is a predicted model, not a curated record.